RNAcentral lists this long non-coding RNA (347 nucleotides) under Castor canadensis (American beaver). Its description in RNAcentral is "lncRNA (ENSCCNG00000025346.1)". Lineage: Eukaryota; Metazoa; Chordata; Mammalia; Rodentia; Castoridae. The record is from RNAcentral.
GGCGAGUUCUGUUAAGGGCAAAAGCUGAGUAUUCGAACUGCGGCCCCGGGGUUCCGGAAGGGACUUCUGGGGGAAGCGGGAGGGUGGAAACACGACAGGUUCGCGAAUUACACAUCAAGGUACAAGACGAGGGGCCUUCAUGUGUGCCUUCUGCAUAUGGAUGAGCCACAGGGUCACGCUGUCCCUCUGAAGAGACAGUUGCUGAAGGCAGAACCAGGGGACUCAAGUAUCUUGCAAAGGCUUUAUUUGUGAAAAUUUGAAACUUACAUCCCACAAGAAUUCAAGAUUAUCACCACAAGAAGAAGAAAGAGAUAAUACAAAAAUAUAUAUCACAGCAUAGGAACCAG